UGAAUAUUUUUGACACUCUUCAUCCGGUUUCUGACAACUUGAGUUGAAAUACAUCGAACUCCUGACAAGACUGGUUCCUCAGAAGGAAUGAUUGAAGAACGAAAAACAGUGGCAGGAUUGGGAGAAAUCAGAGGUGUGGCGAAACGCCUUCCCUCACGCCUCAACGCAGCCAUGGCCAUUGUUGAUCCGAUUCGAUCUGAUCGGCACCUUCCUCCUCAGGCUUAUCCUCUUCGCAGAUCGACAAAUUUACGCUAGGGUUUACAGUCGCUUGAAAUGUCAGCUGAGACACAGUAAGGAUCCGAGUCGCUGCCCCGAAAAUGUUUUAAAGCUGGAUGUAAUGCGGUGUCG
This 348-nucleotide unclassified non-coding RNA is filed under the name Hevea brasiliensis (rubber tree). Lineage: Eukaryota; Viridiplantae; Streptophyta; Magnoliopsida; Malpighiales; Euphorbiaceae. The record is from RNAcentral.